CUACGGGCUGCUCCAGUGAGGAAUAUUGCACAAUGGGGGGAACCCUGAUGCAGCAACGCCGCGUGGAGGAUGACGCAUUUCGGUGUGUAAACUCCUUUUAUAUGUCAAGAAAAUGACGGUAGCAUAUGAAUAAGCACCGGCUAACUCCGUGCCAGCAGCCGCGGUAAUACGGAGGGUGCAAGCGUUACUCGGAAUCACUGGGCGUAAAGGACGCGUAGGCGGGUUGGAAAGUCAGGUGUGAAAUCCUACAGCUUAACUGUAGAACUGCACUUGAAACUUCUAAUCUAGAGUAUGGGAGGGGAGAUGGAAUUAGUGGUGUAGGGGUAAAAUCCGUAGAUAUCACUAGGAAUACCUAAGGCGAAGGCGAUCUCCUGGAACAUUACUGACGCUAAGGCGUGAAAGCGUGGGGAGCAAACAGGAUUAGAUACCUUCGUAGUC
This 438-nucleotide ribosomal RNA is filed under the name uncultured bacterium. RNAcentral describes it as "partial 16S ribosomal RNA". It matches the Rfam family "Bacterial small subunit ribosomal RNA", at positions 339 to 795 of the family's 1533-position model. The record is from RNAcentral.